UACAGAGGGGGCAAGCGUUGUUCGGAAUUACUGGGCGUAAAGGGCGCGUAGGCGGCUUGUCGCGUCGUUCGUGAAAACCCGGGGCUCAACUCCGGGCUUGCGGGCGAUACGGGCAGGCUAGAGUUCGGUAGGGGAGACUGGAAUUCCUGGUGUAGCGGUGGAAUGCGCAGAUAUCAGGAGGAACACCGGUGGCGAAGGCGGGUCUCUGGGCAGUAACUGACGCUGAGGAGCGAAAGCGUGGGGAGCGAACAGG
This 253-nucleotide ribosomal RNA is filed under the name uncultured bacterium. RNAcentral describes it as "partial 16S ribosomal RNA". It matches the Rfam family "Bacterial small subunit ribosomal RNA", at positions 524 to 776 of the family's 1533-position model. The record is from RNAcentral.